Vulpes vulpes (red fox) is the source of this 1584-nucleotide long non-coding RNA. The record is from Ensembl. NCBI's taxonomy places the organism in Eukaryota, Metazoa, Chordata, Mammalia, Carnivora, Canidae.
AGACCUCUCCCCCACCCCCCCCACCCCCGCCCCCGGAGGCUCAGGCUGCUGCAGGCAGGGUUGGCUUUGAAAACCACUGUCUUCUUUCUACUAAGCCUGGAAGGUCCUCAACACAGAGAAGACACUCAAGAAAUGCUACUUUAACCCCCAAGGACCCGAACCUGCUCCGGGAGGAUGUCCAAGUCCUGCCUCUUCCUGUCCUCCCUCUCUCCCCGCUCUCUUCCACCCGCAUGCAGGGAGAAAGGGGAGGAACUCUGAUCUGUGAGAUGCUGGUCACGCAGGACAGCAGAUCUGGGAGGGCUCACCUCCAGUGCCCCCAGGAUGACCAUGCCGAGUGUGAUCAGUGGAGAACAGCAGGUGGCACAAAUCAGAAACUCAGGAAAGCCUUCAUAGAGGUGAUCCCAAGCGCAGGAAAAAUCAGCAGACGGGCUACACAGGAAAUUUGGGCAAACCCCAGAGCUGCAGAACAAGAGGCCUUCGGGAACCAUCAGGACUUUGCUGAGCGCCGGACCUUGGCCCAGGAGAGGAGAGGAGAAGACAGGAGACCGGGCCAGGGCCUCAUCUGGAAGAGUGGUUCAAACUAGGAACCUGCUGGCUGGUGAUGAGUAUCGAAGCAUCCAGUGAAAAUCAGCUGUGGGUGAUACAGACCUUCCAUAGAUCCCAGCACAAGUCAUCUAAGCAAGCAAUCCCCGUAAGGCGUGAUCCUGGAUGAAGCACAAUUGGAAAAUUCACCCGCCAUCUUGUCACAUCGCUUUAGAUGACAAUGAAGACGCAUUAGGUUAAGUGUGUUAAUCAUACCUGUUGAAGCAAAACAGAGGCAGGUCCUCAGCUGUCCCUUCAGUCCGUGGAUGUGUGUUCAGGGUUCACUGCCAUACAGAGCUGUGACUGCUCUCUUCCCCCGGGGGCCUGAGGUGAAUACAUAGAUGGAGCCAUUCCUUGGUGUUGUGUGACUGUAAGGUGCAUUAGGGACCUACAGAGGCAGAUCCUAGUGUGCUCUGGACAAAAGAGGCCUGUCCUUUCUCAGAUCUUUGGGUCUGCUUUCCAUUGUAACCUAUAACUUGCCACACACUCAGCUUGGUUUCCCAAAGUCUUCUAUUUGCAAGUGCCUAAUAGUUGUUGAGAAUUUCUUAGGAGCCAGGUGCCCCAGUUAAGGCAAUCCCAAUCAUCUGUCAUAUAGUUCUCCCAAGAACUCCAUCGUCUUAUUUUGCACAUGAGAAUCCGAGACUCAGAGAGAGUAAGUUACUUGACCAAGGUUUACACAGCCAACCGGUGACAGAGCUAGGGUGAGGAAGGAGUGACUCUCGCAACCAUGAGACUGGAGGGACAAAGACGGUCUCCUCUGUUUGGCAGCUAGUUGACUUGGAGUAAGUGAUAGGAGAGGACAUGAGGUUUGUUGGGUGGGUCUGCAAGGCUAGGAAAGGCAUUUGAAGCUGCUGACUUCUUAGAGACUCACGGUCCCGAAUUCUAAAUGAAGUGUUAAAGUCUGGGGAUCAUCAACACUUGAUACAAGUCAGUAUGUGGAGGUGGGAAGAAUGGAAGGAUGUAUCCAGAGGUGGGGGCAGUGAGGCUCUCGCCUGUCUGGGA